UUCCCUUUUACAGGAUGGAAAUUGUGUGAACAAUUUCUAUUGCAUUUCUGAGAUUUUUGCCUUAGCAUAGCUGAGUGCUGAUAGUAAAAAUUACUGCGCCACUAAGAUGGCU
Molecule: long non-coding RNA, 112 nt
Organism: Corapipo altera (White-ruffed manakin)
Lineage: Eukaryota; Metazoa; Chordata; Aves; Passeriformes; Pipridae
Exons: 3
Source: RefSeq, a predicted model, not a curated record